UACAGAGGUGGCAAGCGUUGUUCGGAAUUACUGGGCGUAAAGGGCGCGUAGGCGGUCCUUCAAGUCCCGCGUGAAAUCCCCCGGCUCAACUGGGGAACUGCGCGGGAAACUGUAGGGCUUGAGUUCGGGAGAGGGAAGCGGAAUUCCGGGUGUAGCGGUGAAAUGCGUAGAUAUCCGGAGGAACACCGGUGGCGAAGGCGGCUUCCUGGACCGACACUGACGCUGAGGCGCGAAAGCUAGGGGAGCAAACAGG
This 253-nucleotide ribosomal RNA is filed under the name uncultured bacterium. RNAcentral's name for it is "partial 16S ribosomal RNA". It matches the Rfam family "Bacterial small subunit ribosomal RNA", at positions 524 to 776 of the family's 1533-position model. The record is from RNAcentral.